Molecule: ribosomal RNA, 241 nt
Filed under: uncultured bacterium
Lineage: Bacteria
Description: partial 16S ribosomal RNA
Rfam family: Bacterial small subunit ribosomal RNA
Source: RNAcentral
CGACCGGCGCACGGGUGAGUAACACGUAUCCAACCUGCCGAUGACUCAGGGAUAGCCUUUCGAAAGAAAGAUUAAUACCCGAUGGCAUAGUUCUUCCGCAUGGUAGAACUAUUAAAGAAUUUCGGUCAUCGAUGGGGAUGCGUUCCAUUAGGUUGUUGGCGGGGUAACGGCCCACCAAGCCUUCGAUGGAUAGGGGUUCUGAGAGGAAGGUCCCCCACAUUGGAACUGAGACACGGUCCAA